This 380-nucleotide unclassified non-coding RNA is filed under the name soil metagenome. RNAcentral describes it as "partial contains 5.8S ribosomal RNA, internal transcribed spacer 2, and large subunit ribosomal RNA". The stretch from base 1 to 120 matches the Rfam family "5.8S ribosomal RNA", at positions 35 to 154 of the family's 154-position model. The record is from RNAcentral.
GAUGAAGAACGCAGCGAAAUGCGAUAAGUAAUGUGAAUUGCAGAAUUCAGUGAAUCAUCGAAUCUUUGAACGCAUCUUGCGCUCCUUGGUAUUCCGAGGAGCAUGCCUGUUUGAGUGUCAUUAAAUUCUCAACUACACUGAUUUUUUUUGGUUGGUGUAGAUUGGAUUUGGGGGUAUUUUUUGCGGGCUUUGUAAAAUGAAGUCGGCUCCCCUGAAAUUGAUUAGCGGUACCUUUGUGGAACUGUCUACAGGUGUGAUAAUUAUCUACAUCUUAGACAUCUGCUGGAAUGCUGCUUUCUAAACCUUACUUGUAUUGACAAUCUUGACCUCAAAUCAGGUAGGACUACCCGCUGAACUUAAGCAUAUCAAUAAGCGGAGGA